UGGGGAAUCUUGCGCAAUGGGCGGAAGCCUGACGCAGCAACGCCGCGUGGGGGAUGACGGCCUUCGGGUUGUAAACCUCUUUCGCGAUCGACGAAGGCUCACUUGUUGUGGGUUGACGGUAGGUCGAGAAGAAGCACCGGCCAACUACGUGCCAGCAGCCGCGGUAAUACGUAGGGUGCGAGCGUUGUCCGGAAUUAUUGGGCGUAAAGAGCUCGUAGGCGGUGUGUCGCGUCGGCCGUGAAAACCUGGGGCUCAACUCUGGGCGUGCGGUCGAUACGGGCAUCACUUGAGUUCGGCAGGGGAGACUGGAAUUCCUGGUGUAGCGGUGAAAUGCGCAGAUAUCAGGAGGAACACCGGUGGCGAAGGCGGGUCUCUGGGCCGAUACUGACGCUGAGGAGCGAAAGCAUGGGUAGCGAACA
This 419-nucleotide ribosomal RNA is filed under the name uncultured Actinomycetospora sp. RNAcentral describes it as "bacterial SSU rRNA". It matches the Rfam family "Bacterial small subunit ribosomal RNA", at positions 355 to 774 of the family's 1533-position model. The record is from RNAcentral. Lineage: Bacteria; Bacillati; Actinomycetota; Actinomycetes; Pseudonocardiales; Pseudonocardiaceae.